Molecule: unclassified non-coding RNA, 253 nt
Filed under: uncultured Chitinophagales bacterium
Lineage: Bacteria; Pseudomonadati; Bacteroidota; Chitinophagia; Chitinophagales
Description: contains 16S-23S intergenic spacer region
Rfam family: Bacterial small subunit ribosomal RNA
Source: RNAcentral
UACGGAGGGUGCAAGCGUUAUCCGGAUUUACUGGGUUUAAAGGGUGUGUAGGCGGGCAGGUAAGUCAGAGGUGAAAUCUCCGAGCUUAACUCGGAAACUGCCUUUGAUACUAUUUGUCUUGAAUGUCGUUGAGGUGGGCGGAAUAUAUCAUGUAGCGGUGAAAUGCAUAGAUAUGAUAUAGAACACCAAUUGCGAAGGCAGCUCACUAAGCGAAUAUUGACGCUGAGGCACGAAAGCGUGGGGAGCAAACAGG